RNAcentral lists this unclassified non-coding RNA (291 nucleotides) under Glomus sp. RNAcentral's name for it is "partial contains 5.8S ribosomal RNA and internal transcribed spacer 2". The stretch from base 1 to 71 matches the Rfam family "5.8S ribosomal RNA", at positions 84 to 154 of the family's 154-position model. Lineage: Eukaryota; Fungi; Glomeromycota; Glomeromycetes; Glomerales; Glomeraceae. The record is from RNAcentral.
GUGAAUCAUCAAAUUUUUGAACGCAUAUUGCACUCUCUGGUGUUCCGGAGAGUAUGCCUGUUUGAGGGUCAGUUAAAUAAAAAUCGAGGUUUUUGUUGCCUUUUCGUGUUGAAGCUUCGGAAUUGGGUCGUUUUUACCUAUCGUUUAGGUGACUUAAAAUUUUUUUAUGAUUUCUGAACGUUUUUAAAUUUAUUUGGUACGUUUUGUAAUAUCAAAUAUUUAUUAGUUUUGGUCAUCUUAAUGAUUCACGUCUAUAAUUUUUCAUCUAAUGACUUCAAUUAAGUUAAGAGU